This 253-nucleotide ribosomal RNA is filed under the name uncultured bacterium. RNAcentral's name for it is "partial 16S ribosomal RNA". It matches the Rfam family "Bacterial small subunit ribosomal RNA", at positions 524 to 776 of the family's 1533-position model. The record is from RNAcentral.
UACGUAGGGGGCAAGCGUUGUCCGGAUUUAUUGGGCGUAAAGAGCGUGUAGGCGGCCAAGCAGGUCAGCUGUGAAAACUCGAGGCUCAACCUCGAGACGUCGGUUGAAACCGCUUGGCUAGAGUCCGGAAGAGGAGAGUGGAAUUCCCGGUGUAGCGGUGAAAUGCGCAGAUAUCAGGAGGAACACCGAUGGCGAAGGCAGGUCACUGGGCCGCAACUGACGCUGAGGAGCGAAAGCAUGGGGAGCGAACAGG